GACCGCGUAGCUCAGUUGGCACAGCGUUGGGCUAGUAUUCCAAAAGUCGUAUGUUCGAUUCACCCCGUGGCCA
RNAcentral lists this transfer RNA (73 nucleotides) under Paramuricea clavata. It matches the Rfam family "tRNA". From Rfam's summary of the family: Transfer RNA (tRNA) molecules are approximately 80 nucleotides in length. Their secondary structure includes four short double-helical elements and three loops (D, anti-codon, and T loops). Further hydrogen bonds mediate the characteristic L-shaped molecular structure. tRNAs have two regions of fundamental functional importance: the anti-codon, which is responsible for specific mRNA codon recognition, and the 3' end, to which the tRNAs corresponding amino acid is attached (by aminoacyl-tRNA synthetases). tRNAs cope with the degeneracy of the genetic code in two manners: having more than one tRNA (with a specific anti-codon) for a particular amino acid; and 'wobble' base-pairing, i.e. permitting non-standard base-pairing at the 3rd anti-codon position. Lineage: Eukaryota; Metazoa; Cnidaria; Anthozoa; Malacalcyonacea; Plexauridae. The record is from Rfam by way of RNAcentral.